AGCUAGUUGGUAGGGUAAAGGCUUACCAAGGCGACGAUCCAUAGCUGGUUUGAGAGAAUGGCCAGCCACACUGGGACUGAGACACGGCCCAGACUCCUACGGGAGGCAGCAGUGGGGAAUAUUGGACAAUGGGGGGAACCCUGAUCCAGCAAUGCCACGUGUGUGAAGAAGGCCUUAGGGUUGUAAAGCACUUUCAGCGGGGAGGAAUGCACGUUGAUUAAUACUUGACGUGCUAGACGUUACCUGCAGAAGAAGCACCGGCUAACUCCGUGCCAGCAGCCGCGGUAAUACGGAGGGUGCGAGCGUUAAUCGGAAUUACUGGGCGUAAAGGGCGCGUAGGCGGAUGAUUAAGUUGGAUGUGAAAUCCCAGGGCUCAACCUUGGAACUGCAUCCGAAACUGGUUAUCUGGAGUAUGGUAGAGGAAAGUGGAAUUUCAGGUGUAGC
Molecule: ribosomal RNA, 444 nt
Filed under: Piscirickettsia salmonis
Lineage: Bacteria; Pseudomonadati; Pseudomonadota; Gammaproteobacteria; Thiotrichales; Piscirickettsiaceae
Description: bacterial SSU rRNA
Rfam family: Bacterial small subunit ribosomal RNA
Source: RNAcentral